CCAACAUCAACACAUUCCACUCAUCCUGGACAUUCACACUAACACUUUCCCAAGUUCCAAACCUAAUUCCGGUUUUCCUGGAAAUUCCAACAUUCAACCUCUUCUUACAUUCAUACUACAUUCUUGGUAAAGGAACUAGAAACAUUCCUGGAUUUUCCCAUUGAAAUUAAUUGGCCAUUUUUCAAACUUCCACCAUUUGCACAUUUUUCAACCGAUUCCAACCAUUCCACCUUCAACAUAUUCCACUUUAUUCCAAGUUUUAAAAAAAUUCCCAAAAUUCCCAGUUUUCCAAAUCCUAUUUUCAUUUUUUUUCCCCUGUAACUCCCACAUUUUUCAACCCACUUCAACCGUUCCACCAUCAAAACAUUUUUCUUAAUCAGGACAAAAAACGAAGUAGUUUUUUGAACUGGAAAAAUUCCCAGUUUUCCCGAAAUUCCAGUAAUACCUUUUUUUCAGUUAAAAAUGUUACCGCGUCAAUAUUUCUCGACUGUUUUGACCAAUUCAGCUCAUCCAGGACAUUCAUGCUUCUAAUCAUUUUUUUUUUUAAAUCCCGCUUUUCCCAAAUUUCCAGGAAGUUCCCAUUGAAAUGAAUGGGACAUUUUUCCAAGUUGCACAAUUCCCACAUUUUUCAAGCUAUUCAAACCAUUCCAACA
Non-coding RNA from Nerophis lumbriciformis (worm pipefish), 653 nucleotides. NCBI's taxonomy places the organism in Eukaryota, Metazoa, Chordata, Actinopteri, Syngnathiformes, Syngnathidae. The record is from RefSeq and is a predicted model, not a curated record.